GGGCCGUUAGCUCAGUUGGCAGAGCACCGGGCUUUUAACCCGAGGGUCCAGGGUUCGAGUCCCUGACGGCCCACCA
Molecule: transfer RNA, 76 nt
Filed under: Deltaproteobacteria bacterium
Lineage: Bacteria; Pseudomonadati; Myxococcota; Myxococcia
Also listed under: 3 other names
Description: tRNA-Lys
Rfam family: tRNA
About the family: Transfer RNA (tRNA) molecules are approximately 80 nucleotides in length.
Source: RNAcentral